Mauremys mutica (yellowpond turtle) is the source of this 3964-nucleotide RNA transcript. It is a transcript of the gene named MIS12 kinetochore complex component, with no coding region annotated. Lineage: Eukaryota; Metazoa; Chordata; Testudines; Geoemydidae. The transcript is spliced from 3 exons. The record is from RefSeq and is a predicted model, not a curated record.
GGCCGCGGGCAGUGGGCGGGGAGGCUUCCCCACGCCUGCGGGCCCCUCGCACUUGGGAGCCGGGGACGGUGGCGCCCCAGUCCCCAAGGCCUCGGGAGCCUGGGCCCAGGCGAUGGUUCCUACCGCGGCAAGAGGCAGCCGGGGCCUGAGGGCCCCAGCGGCCCCCACCCAUUGGGCCUGGGCAGCGAUUUCCACAUUGUCUACGGUUGACUUCUUUUAGCCAAGAUGUCAGUGAAUCCUAUGGCAUAUGAAGCCCAGUUCUUUGGUUUUACCCCUCAGACAUGUAUGCUUAGGGUCUACAUUGCAUUUCAAGACUACCUGUUUGAAAUGAUGCUGGUUGUGGAAAGAGUCAUUCUGAAGAAACUAGAAGGUUGUCCUGACUCUAAGAUCAGUCCAUUCCAAAUCCGUAAGAGCACAGAGAAAUUUCUUCUCUUCAUGAAGGAGCGCUUUGAUCACCUCUUCAGCAAAAUGGAACAAAUGCUUUUGCAGUUGGUGUUAAACAUCCCUAAAAAUGUUUUACUUCCUGAAGACAAGGUCCAUGAGCAGUACCCCUACAGUAAGGAACAGUUUCAAACUCUUCACGGUGAAAUUGAUCAACUACAGAAACAAUACAAGGUUGAAGUGUCUGCUGGACAGACCCUUUUAGCAGAAUUAGAAGAACAGAAAAUGGUUCAGGCAGAACUUGAGAAGACCCUCCAGUGGUUUGAUGGGCUUGAGAACAUAUGCAGAGAGCACGGGACUAGCAAUUUAAAGGAAAGCUUUGCAUUCUUGACGCAAACGGCUAAGAAACUGCAAGAUAUACUAAAGGAAGUUGAAAAGAAAAACAAAAGAUUGCAAAAUAGUAAUCUCCAUGUAGUGUAAAGGAAGUACUGAAAGGGCAGCAGAGAAACCAAUAAGACAAUACUUUUGUCACAAUACAUUUUUUGAGGAUCCCUCUUCCUUGCCAUACCAGGUUUUGACUGAAAGCUGGUGAGUGCAAUAUUCUGGCAAACCAUCAUUUUCCCCUCCUGAAUUCUAUAAAUACUGCAUAGAUAUUUCUUUAAGUAAAUAAUUAUACCCCCUGAAGAAUGUCUAAAUGAAUUGUCUGAAUGGUAGAAGUGCAGAUGCAAAAUAAGUGCAUUGUAAUGAAGACUUCAAUUCUCUGCACUAGUUCAUUUAAGCAACCUUAGUAGAUAGGAAGCUUUUUCUUUAAUGUACAAUAGGUUAGAAGCAUUUUAAUCUUAAACUAUUUUUUGGAAGUCAAGACUUGUCAGUAUUGAAAUGUUCCAUUUAGAAAUGUAAGCAUGUGACAUCAUAGUAAAACUUAGGCCUUGAGGAGAAAUACAUUUAUAAAUGUUGGAGUUGGAAUUAAUCUAGACAAUGGUGAGUGGUUUCUAAAACGGAGGGGUUAGUUAUUACUUCCAGUAUUUAAAAAAAAAAAAAUUGGUUGAUAUGCUGAAGGAGUUAACAAAGACAGGACAGAGGGCCUGGAUCUUUCCUGUUUCUAGUGGGAGUAUUUCACAAAUAUUAAUCAGUAGUCACAAACCUAUGUACAGUAGGUGAUUAUACCAAUUUUGCAAACGAAUAGUUAGUUUUGCUCUGAGCAGGAGGUGCACACUGUACAGUGCUGUGUCUGAUAAGAGACAGAUAUGAGCUACAGCAGAAUAACUCAAGACUCUGGACUGCUUUGAAAGUUUUCUUGCACCAUAGUAUUUAUUGUAGUGUCAGCACAGCAUUAUACAUUGUGUGACUCUUGCUAAAAGCAAAACUUAGUUUGCCUAGCUAUACAAUGGAUAUACUCACCUACCUUACAUGGGUGUUGUGAGGACUGAUUAAUAUUUGUGAAGUCCUUUGAGGUCCUUGAAUUAAGCUUACUUUAUAUGGACUUGUUGCACAAUCCAUCAAAAUAAAUGUGAAUCUUUUCAUUGACUUCAGUGCCUUUUGGAUCAGCCCUUAUUUGCAUAUUAGUACAGUAAAAAGAAGCUUAACUUUUACAGGGGCAAAACUUCCUUACUUUUUAAAAGAUACUUGCUUGAACGAUGUUUAACUUCUGUAUAACUUGAGAGCUACUUAAAAAUUAUACAUAAAGUGACAAAAUAUAUUUUUUCAAUGCAUUCUGAAACUAUACUAUGAAAUAUUCUAUGAAAUAUUCUAUGCUAAUCUAUGAAAUUUGUCAAAUACCUGAGGAUUUCUGGAUCAGCUCAAUAUGCUCAAAGAACAGGUCAACAAAUUUGAAGUGUCCACUGAUUUUGUGAGCCCAGUGUGACAUUUUGUGACUCACCUUGGGCACCCAAAGUCAGUGUCCACAUCUGAAAAUUUGGCCAAAGACGUUAACUUUUAAUGUUUAACGCUAGUCUUUGUGUGAACUAACGUGCAUUAAAUAACACCUAAAGAUUUUCUAAUGGAAAUCAUUGUAAAGUAUCUUAUUUAGAGACUCAUUUUGUAUAUAUACUUAAAACAUUGUUUAUUUAUCUGCAUUUUUUUAUCAGUAAAAUCUGAGUGUUCAUUUCCCCACUACUCAUUCUUACAUGUAGUAAGCUUCUGUGCUACUGUAUGGCUGCAGCUAAAACUAUAGUUAGAGGAUUAGGAACAGAUACUGAAUAAGCAGAUUAGUUUUUAAGAUGCAGCUUAGGCUGUCUUUUAUAAAUAAAGUACAUAGUUAAACACAACUUUUUCUUCCCCCAAACUGCAAAGGCUACGGCCCAUACUUUGAACUAAACAUGCCAGUUUAUGAAAAGUCAUUCAUCUGUCACUUUGUAGAACUUGCAUCCUUUUACCGUAUUCUUCUAUUAAGAGUGUGAUUUAAGUGACAAGUAAAUAAACAUUCCAAUAACUCAUAAGAUAGUGUGAUGCAAUUUACUGUUACUGUGCUAGAAAAAUCUCAUUCAAAAAUCUUCAUUGCUAAUGCAAUUUUUUUCAGCAAUAUGACAACAACAAAUCUGUGGAUAUUGUUUUGUCAGACAGCCCCAAGGGAGUUUAGUUUUCAUUCUGAACAACAGUGAAUGUUAAUUGGAAAUCUACUGCAGGACAAAAAAAUUAAAUUGGUAAUUUAAAUAUAAAAUUAAGUAAACAUGUGGAUGUCAAUAGUAGGAGUACAGUAAUACAGACAUUUGGCAAGGCAGGAGAUGAAGAAUACAGAUACCAUCUUUUCUUCAGGGUACAAUUAAAAGCUCCUUUCUGAGCCUUACAAAUCUACUGUGUGCUUAUUUAAAUAGGUCCAUAAAACAGGAGCUAUAGCAUAAUCAACAAUUACGUUGAUUUUUUUAUAGUAAGAAAUAAAAAAAAAGUCCAUGUGGGGACAGGGAGUGGUAGGUGAAGACACCCCCCCCUCCCCAAAUGAGACUGAUAGUGUUUAUCAUUCAUUGCUAGUAAUGUCAGCAUUUCCCCAAGGAGUGGAUCCUUCCUUAAAUAUCCCAUGGACUAAGGAGGGAUUACUUUUUUAAAAACAAGGAUGAUGUUUUGAGUAAUAUAAUGAUAAAUAGUGCUGAGGAUAGGGACUGGCUUGGGAUAAAAUGAGUACCUUUUAUAGAUACUCUAUAAUGGUGGGUUUUAAAGCUGUUCACCAAAUACAUAUUCUUCAAGCUGGAUAAGAAAAGCAAAACACUCUAACUUUAACUGCACUUUACUAUGAUUUUAACCUCACAAACAAUGGGUAUCUUGAAUUUUGUGCACAAACACAUUCAAAUAGAUUAAAAAAUAAAUCAAUCAUGGGGUUUAACCCUGCUAAAGGUGGUUGGUUUACUGGGUCAUCCAAACUCCUUACUAAUAUAAAGUUGUGUCCUCAGAUAGACCUGAGAGGUUUGUUGUCCAUCUAUUUUAUCAGGUUACAGAAUGUUCUCUUCUUUUAAGUGAAACAAUGUUAAAAAAACCCAGCCAGAAUGUUAACGUUUUUGGGAAGUUUGCAGGAGAUACAUUUCUACAUGUAACCUUAUGCAGACUGUAUAUAUUUUACCUUUCUCUGCAAUAAAGAUACAUUUGAAACACU